GAAAUUCUCAUAAGUGUUGAUGCAUCUCCUGCAGCUUUGGAAUAUACUCCAAAGAAAUCAUAUGCUUCAAUUGUGAAAGUAACGAAAGGUACAGUGCUUAGUUCAGUGUAUGUUGCCACUAAUUCAAAGGUGGCACCUGCAAACUCUGAAAAACAAUCCCUUAACUCCGCAAAACCUGCUUAUGCCCCAGAGGUUGUUGCUCCUACUAGUGUUGGUGCUCAUGAACAAGUAGUGAUGUUCAUGAAGAAGCUGAAGGUUAUUCCAUAUACAUACGGAAUUUACCUUUUAAUGCAACAGCUGUACAACUUGAUGAGGUGUUUAAAAAAUUUGGGCCAAUAAAGCGAGGUGGCAUCCAAGUUAGAAGUAACAAGCAAGGAUUCUGUUUUGGCUUUGUUGAAUUUGAAACAUGGAAUUCCAUGCAAAGUGCACUUGAGGCUUCACCUAUCAAUAUUGGGGAUUGUCAAGCUACUGUUGAGGAAAAGAAAACCAACACCCGAGUUGCUAGUAGCGGGAGGGGGAGGUACUCCUCAGGAAGAGGUGGUUUUAGGAGUGACAGUUUCAAGAACCGUGGGAACUUUGGCAGCAGCCGUGGUUAUGGCAGAAAUGAAUUCAGAAACCAGGGUGAAUUUUCACUGCGACCUAAGGGUUCAGCUGGGCGCAGUGGUGAUGAUUACCAGCGGACUAAUCCAAAUGGAAGCAGAAGGGC
Molecule: unclassified non-coding RNA, 706 nt
Filed under: Hevea brasiliensis (rubber tree)
Lineage: Eukaryota; Viridiplantae; Streptophyta; Magnoliopsida; Malpighiales; Euphorbiaceae
Source: RNAcentral